RNAcentral lists this ribosomal RNA (430 nucleotides) under uncultured bacterium. Its description in RNAcentral is "partial 16S ribosomal RNA". It matches the Rfam family "Bacterial small subunit ribosomal RNA", at positions 355 to 799 of the family's 1533-position model. The record is from RNAcentral.
UGGGGAAUAUUGCACAAUGGGCGAAAGCCUGAUGCAGCAACGCCGCGUGAGUGAUGAAGGCCUUCGGGUUGUAAAGCUCUGUCUUUUUGGGACGAUAAUGACGGUACCAAAGGAGGAAGCCACGGCUAACUACGUGCCAGCAGCCGCGGUAAUACGUAGGUGGCAAGCGUUGUCCGGAUUUACUGGGCGUAAAGGAUGCGUAGGCGGAUUUUUAAGUGAGACGUGAAAUACCCGGGCUUAACUUGGGUGCUGCAUUUUCAAACUGGGAAUCUAGAGUGCGGGAGAGGAGAAUGGAAUUCCUAGUGUAGCGGUGAAAUGCGUAGAGAUUAGGAAGAACACCAGUGGCGAAAGGCGAUUCUCUGGACCGUAACUGACGCUGAGGCAUGAAAGCGUGGGUAGCAAACAGGAUUAGAUACCCUGGUAGUCCACG